RNAcentral lists this long non-coding RNA (631 nucleotides) under Mytilus galloprovincialis (Mediterranean mussel). Lineage: Eukaryota; Metazoa; Mollusca; Bivalvia; Mytilida; Mytilidae. The record is from RNAcentral.
GAUCAAUGGUAAGAAGUGGAAGAUCUGUUUUAAAAAAAAUAAAAAUCUUGGGUUUCAAACGCCAAAAACACAAAGAAUGGAUCAAACCAGAGACAUGGAAUCUGAUUGACAACAGGAAAGUGUUAAAAAAAGAUCUGCCAUACACACUCUGAUAGAUUAAAAGAUAGACUAAUGGGUCAAUACUCCAACUGUAAUAAAGAAAUUAAGAAAAUCACAAGAAAGAUCAAAAAGAUUUCAUCGAAGGAAUGGCUCUAGAGGCUGAAACAGCUGCUUCAGAGCAAAGAAUGGGCGACCUUUAUCAAAUUACUAAAAAACUUUGUGGCCACAAAAAAAAAACCCCACCAACAUACCAGUUAAAGACAAACAUGGGGAUCUAAUAACAUCUGAUAGAGAACAAGAGGGUAGAUGGAAUGAACAUUCCAAAGAAGUAUUAAAUAGGCCAGACCAGAAACAACAGCAAACAUACCCAUCGCAGAACAUGACAUUGAAAUAAACAUAAAAAUUCCAUCUAAAUCAGAGAUUAUCGGAACAGUAAAGAGCCUUUAAACCAACAAAGCCCUCGGAAAUGAUAAGCUAUCAGCAGAUCUAUUUAAGUCAGAUCCAGUCUUAACAGCGAACAUUCUGCACACAC